CAGCCCCUCGCUGCUGCGGGAUGGGCACAGCCUCCACCGCAGGAAAUCCUCCAAGAUUGCGAGAUCUGAGGUGACUGACUUUUGUUAUUUGUUUGUUUGUUUGUUUGUUUUCAAACAAACAUGCACAAAUCUCCCUAGUUGAAGAGACCGUGUCACUGGACGAGGAAGACUCCGUGGAGGCUGUUGGCAGGAGCGUCUCAGGGAGAUCUGCUGAUUUAUUUGCUUAUUCAGUAGGCUGCUUUGGCUGCUUGGUCUGACCUGCCCAGACUGACACUGAGAUAUUUGGAAGCUUGAACCUACAGUUAACUGCUGGUUUUGCCCACGAGCUGCUGAGAAGUCUGCUACAACCCCUGCAGAGCUGGAGGAGUCCAUCAAGACAAGGAGAAGUGCUCCAUCUCUCUGACCAACUUGGUGGCCUUCUCUGGACUUGCUCCAGGUCAAUGUUGGAGACCCCACAGCUGGAUGCAGCACUCCAGGUCAGGCCUCACCAGAGGAGAGAGGCAGAAUCACCUCCCUCACCCUGCUGGCCAUGCUGCUUUUGAUGCAGCUCAGGAUACAAUUGGUUUCUGGGCUACCCCAACCCCUACAGCACAAGGGUCUGGCUUUCCUUGAGCAGAUGAGAGAGUAAGCACUUGCCCCAGGAGCUGAGCAGAGAAGGCUGCCUCCCCAUUGCUGCUGAGAAGCA
Zonotrichia leucophrys gambelii is the source of this 685-nucleotide long non-coding RNA. RefSeq lists it as uncharacterized. The transcript has 3 exons. The record is from RefSeq and is a predicted model, not a curated record. Lineage: Eukaryota; Metazoa; Chordata; Aves; Passeriformes; Passerellidae.